GUAGGUGGCAAGCGUUAUCCGGAAUUAUUGGGCGUAAAGCGCGCGUAGGCGGGUUUUUUAAGUCUGAUGUGAAAGCCCACGGGCUCAACCGUGGAGGGUCAUUGGAAACUGGAAAACUUGAGUGCAGAAGAGGAAAGUGGAAUUCCAUGUGUAGCGGUGAAAUGCGCAGAGAUAUGGAGGAACACCAGUGGCGAAGGCGACUUUCUGGUCUGUAACUGACGCUGAUGUGCGAAAGCGUGGGGAUCAAACAGGAUUAGAUACCCUGGUAGUCCACGCCGUAAACGAUGAGUGCUAAGUGUUAGGGGGUUUCCGCCCCUUAGUGCUGCAGCUAACGCAUUAAGCACUCCGCCUGGGGAGUACGACCGCAAGGUUG
This 373-nucleotide ribosomal RNA is filed under the name uncultured organism. RNAcentral's name for it is "partial 16S ribosomal RNA". It matches the Rfam family "Bacterial small subunit ribosomal RNA", at positions 527 to 896 of the family's 1533-position model. The record is from RNAcentral.